UACAGAGGGUGCGAGCGUUGUCCGGAAUCACUGGGCGUAAAGGGCGCGUAGGCGGCUUUUCAAGCGUGCGGUGAAAGCUCGGGGCUUAACUCCGAGUCUGCCGUGCGAACUGGGAGGCUUGAGUCUGGUAGAGGUCGAUGGAAUUCCGGGUGUAGCGGUGGAAUGCGUAGAGAUCCGGAAGAACACCGGUGGCGAAGGCGGUCGACUGGGACAGUACUGACGCUGAGGCGCGACAGCGUGGGGAGCAAACAGG
Molecule: ribosomal RNA, 253 nt
Filed under: uncultured bacterium
Lineage: Bacteria
Description: partial 16S ribosomal RNA
Rfam family: Bacterial small subunit ribosomal RNA
Source: RNAcentral